UACGGGGGGGGCAAGCGUUGUUCGGAAUUACUGGGCGUAAAGGGCUCGUAGGCGGCCAACUAAGUCAGCCGUGAAAUCCCUCGGCUUAACCGGGGAACUGCGUCUGAUACUGGAUGGCUUGAAUCCGGGAGAGGGAUGCGGAAUUCCAGGUGUAGCGGUGAAAUGCGUAGAUAUCUGGAGGAACACCGGUGGCGAAGGCGGCAUCCUGGACCGGCAUUGACGCUGAGGAGCGAAAGCCAGGGGAGCAAACGGG
Molecule: ribosomal RNA, 253 nt
Filed under: uncultured bacterium
Lineage: Bacteria
Description: partial 16S ribosomal RNA
Rfam family: Bacterial small subunit ribosomal RNA
Source: RNAcentral